CAGUAGCCACGGUAAUACGUAGGUGGCAAGCGUUGUCCGGAAUUAUUGGGCGUAAAGGGCUCGCAGGCGGUUUCUUAAGUCUGAUGUGAAAGCCCCCGGCUCAACCGGGGAGGGUCAUUGGAAACUGGGAAACUUGAGUGCAGAAGAGGAGAGUGGAAUUCCACGUGUAGCGGUGAAAUGCGUAGAGAUGUGGAGGAACACCAGUGGCGAAGGCGACUCUCUGGUCUGUAACUGACGCUGAGGAGCGAAAGCGUGGGGAGCAAACAGGAUUAGAGACCCCUGUAGUCCCUGUCUCUUAUAC
This 301-nucleotide ribosomal RNA is filed under the name uncultured bacterium. RNAcentral's name for it is "partial 16S ribosomal RNA". It matches the Rfam family "Bacterial small subunit ribosomal RNA", at positions 509 to 807 of the family's 1533-position model. The record is from RNAcentral.